RNAcentral lists this ribosomal RNA (200 nucleotides) under uncultured bacterium. RNAcentral's name for it is "partial 16S ribosomal RNA". It matches the Rfam family "Bacterial small subunit ribosomal RNA", at positions 8 to 209 of the family's 1533-position model. The record is from RNAcentral.
AGAGUUUGAUCCUGGCUCAGAACGAACGUUAGCGGCGCGCUUAACACAUGCAAGUCGUACGAGAAAGGGGCAACCCUAGUAAAGUGGCGCACGGGUGAGUAACACGUGGGUAAUCUUCCCUCUGGCGGGGGAUAACCUUCCGAAAGGAGGGCUAAUACCGCAUAAGACCACGGAGCCGAAAGGCUCUGGGGUUAAAGCUG